This 1223-nucleotide long non-coding RNA is filed under the name Sus scrofa (pig). RNAcentral describes it as "lncRNA (ENSSSCG00070005299.1)". The record is from RNAcentral. Lineage: Eukaryota; Metazoa; Chordata; Mammalia; Artiodactyla; Suidae.
CUGACAGAGGGGAGGCCAGACCCAGUGGGGCCGAGACCCAGGGCCGGCUCUGCAGAUGCUGCCCGUGCUGCUGCCACCGCUGCUGCUGCUGCUGCUUAGGCCCAGACUGACGGAGGCCUACAGCAGGAAGGACCCGGCCACGUGGCCUUGGCAGGCAAGCAUCUUUCUGGACAGCCGGUACCGCUGUGAGGGGGCCCUCAUUUCCCCAGAGUGGGUGCUGACAAGUGCCAGCUGCUUUGGCAGGUGGGUGCAGGGCCAGGGAGGGGGUGGCAGGGGCUCUGGGAGGGCAGCUCCCAGCCUCGUCACCUCCCGCUCCACACAGCUGGCCGCUGGCCCUCUUCAGCGUGACCCUGGGCCCAGAUCGGCUGGCGCUGGACACUUGUGGCAGCAAGGCCAGCGUGGAGGCGCUGCUCCUGUCCCCAGGAGGGCCCAAGGCCUCGGGAUCUGGUGCCCUGGCCCUGGCUCGGCUGGCAAGGCCACCAUCUCUCAGCAGUGCCAUAUGGCCUAUCCCUCUGGCCACCCGGCCCAGGGGCGGAUCUGCUGGGCCCAAGGCUUUGAUCCUGACUUGGACCCCCACGCCCCACCCCCAAGGCUGGAGAGCACCCCCCUGAGGCUGCUGCACACCAACACCUGCAGAGACACCUUCCGCCUCCAGCCCGACUGUCCGGACCUGCAGGCCCUCCUGCCCAAGGGCUCCUGGUGCGCGAUCGCCCCCACCAGCCCAGCCCAGCUGGUGGUGUCUGAUGGGAGCCCCCUGGUCUGCUUCCAAGCUAGCAGCUGGCGGCUGGAGGGUGUGAUGACCUGGGUCCCUGCUCCCGGCCUGGCCUCCCUGAGGUCUACACACGUGCCUGUCCCCUCAUUUCUUGGAUUCGGGAGACGGUCUCCAAUGCCACCUUCGAUACCUCAGCCAAGAUGCACUCUUGGGACCGGCCCAGGACCAGGCAGAGGAGGCAGUGAGGGUCCUUCGGGAGUUCUGGGUUUGAAACCUGGCUCAGCUCCUUACCUGCUGCUGCGAUGGUGUCCCAGUCACCUCCCUUCUGAAUCUGCUUCCUCUUUUGUGCAACGGAGAUGUAUUCAAUUAUUCAGUCGUUCCACAGCUGCCACAUGCUCCCUACACAAGGUUGCUACAGCCCCUGUGCUCAUGGAGUCUGGGGGGCGAGGCGAGCAUUAGCCAGCGCUCUCACAAUAAUAAAUGUGCAAAUGCGAACCGUGACGGGUGCUUU